GACGAACGCUGGCGGCGUGCUUAACACCUGCAAGUUGAGCGGGAAUGCCCUUCUGUUGUUUUGUGCUCGAGUGGCGAACGGGUGAGUAACACGUGAGUAACCUGCCCUUUGCUUUGGUGUAACUUCAGCAAACUGGUGCUAAUACCGGGUAGUUACUCCUGCUGCAUGGUGGGGGUUGGAAAGUUUCGGCGGUUGGGGUUGGAAUCGCGGCUGAUCAUCGUGUUGGUGGGGUAGUGGCUUACCAAGGCUUUGACGGGUAGCCGGCCUGAGAGGGUGACCGGCCACAUUGGGACUGAGAUAAGGACGAGACUCCAACGGGAGGCAGCAGUGGGGAAUACUGCACAAUGGGGGGAAGCCUGAUGUAGUAACGCCGUGUGCGGGAUGACGGCCGUCGGGUUGUAACCCGCAUUCGCCUGUGAUGAAGGGUGAGAGCCGGUAAUGGGUAACGAAAAACCGGCUACUAACGUG
This 468-nucleotide ribosomal RNA is filed under the name uncultured bacterium. RNAcentral's name for it is "partial 16S ribosomal RNA". It matches the Rfam family "Bacterial small subunit ribosomal RNA", at positions 28 to 507 of the family's 1533-position model. The record is from RNAcentral.